GAUGAACGCUGGCGGCGUGCCUAACACAUGCAAGUCGAGCGAACACACGAGAAGCUCUCGCUCUUAACGGUAGCGAGUGACGGGUGAGUAACGCGUGCAUAAGCUACCUAUUUUACUUGGAUAAUUUCGUGAAACCGGUGCUAAUACCGGAUAACAUGUUGAACCGCAUGGUUCAACAGUUAAAGACGCUUUUGCUGUUACUUUUAGACGAUUUCAGGUCGGAUUAUCUAGUUGGUAAGGUAACGGCCUACCAAGGCAACGAUGCGUAGCCGGGCUGAGAGGAUGAUCAGCCACACUGGAACUGAGACACGGUCCAGACUCCUACGGGAGGCAGCAGUAGGGAAUAUUGGACAAUGGGCGAAAGCCUGACGCAGCAACACCGCGUGAGUGAAGAAGGUCUUCGGGUCGUAAAGCCCUGUUAUUAGGAAAGAAAAGAAGUAUAUGAAACUACGGCCGUCUUGACGGUACCUAAAGAGAAAGCCCCGGCUAACUACGUG
RNAcentral lists this ribosomal RNA (497 nucleotides) under uncultured bacterium. Its description in RNAcentral is "partial 16S ribosomal RNA". It matches the Rfam family "Bacterial small subunit ribosomal RNA", at positions 28 to 507 of the family's 1533-position model. The record is from RNAcentral.